Non-coding RNA from Chlorocebus sabaeus (green monkey), 625 nucleotides. The record is from RefSeq and is a predicted model, not a curated record. NCBI's taxonomy places the organism in Eukaryota, Metazoa, Chordata, Mammalia, Primates, Cercopithecidae.
AUGCCACUGGUAGUAACCAUUAUCUUCUUCUCCCUCUGGGCUUAUGAGUUACCCCCUAAUCAUUUCAGUCUACAGAAGAGACUGAAAUCAUUCUGUAUUGUUACCUCGUCACGUAUCAUUGGCUCAUGGGAAUUUCUCUUCCUCACUUGCGAUUGGACUUCGGCAUUUGGAGCAACCUGAAAUAUAUAUUUCCAGACCAACAAAUAAGAGUGCCCACAUAUCUUGAAAGGCAUCCAUCCAAGGCUUUAGCAGUAAAAUCAUACACUCAUACUGGCAGAAACCAAACCAAGGCUUAGAAUAUUUAUUACAUGUCUUCUUGGCAAUCUCUGCUCAAGAUGGCUCAGGUGGGAAGACUAAGAAACUUGAGAUAAACACCUUGAUGCAGAUGUUUCACCCAAGCCCACUAUUUUUCUUCCUUCCAUUGCUGAAACAAAUCUCCAUAAGGCUGGAACAUACCUUUGUCUUCUUGAGAAUUUUUUCCCAGAUGUUAUUAAGAUACAUUGGCAAGAAAAGAAGAGCAACACGAUUCUGGGAUCCCAGGAGGGGAACACCGUGAAGACUAACGACACAUACAUGAAAUUUAGCUGGUUAACGGUGCCAGAAAAGUCACUGGAUAAAGAGCACA